AGGACGAACGCUGGCGGCGUGCUUAACACAUGCAAGUCGAGCGAGGCCUUCCCUUCGGGGGAGUGCCCUAGCGGCGAACGGGUGAGUAACACGUGGGCAACCUGCCCCUAGCACUGGGAUAACUCCGGGAAACCGGGGCUAAUACCGGAUAUGACCUUCGAGGGCAUCCUCUUUGGUGUAAAGGAUUCUGGCUAGGGAUGGGCCCGCGGCCUAUCAGCUUGUUGGUGGGGUAAUGGCCUACCAAGGCGACGACGGGUAGCCGGCCUGAGAGGGCGACCGGCCACACUGGGGACUGAGACACGGCCCAGACUCCUACGGGAGGCAGCAGUGGGGAAUAUUGCACAAUGGGCGAAAGCCUGAUGCAGCGACGCCGCGUGAGGGGAUGACGGCCUUGGGUUGUAAACCUCUUUCAGUACCGACGAAGCGAAAGUGACGGUAGGUACAGAAGAAGCACCGGCCAACUACGUGCCAGCAGCCGC
This 479-nucleotide ribosomal RNA is filed under the name uncultured bacterium. Its description in RNAcentral is "SSU rRNA". It matches the Rfam family "Bacterial small subunit ribosomal RNA", at positions 26 to 518 of the family's 1533-position model. The record is from RNAcentral.